Mycena haematopus is the source of this 115-nucleotide non-coding RNA. The record is from the annotation of a GenBank genome assembly. Lineage: Eukaryota; Fungi; Basidiomycota; Agaricomycetes; Agaricales; Mycenaceae.
GGUUGGAUGGCCGAGUGGUCUAAGGCGCCAGAUUCAGGACCAGCACCGAGCGGUGCAUCUCAUGUGUAGUACAUUCUGGUCCGCAAGGGCGUGGGUUCGAAUCCCACUCCAAUCA